This 74-nucleotide transfer RNA is filed under the name Pseudopedobacter saltans. RNAcentral's name for it is "tRNA-Cys". It matches the Rfam family "tRNA". From Rfam's summary of the family: Transfer RNA (tRNA) molecules are approximately 80 nucleotides in length. Lineage: Bacteria; Pseudomonadati; Bacteroidota; Sphingobacteriia; Sphingobacteriales; Sphingobacteriaceae. The record is from RNAcentral.
GGUACCAUGGCCGAGCGGUUAGGCUGAGCUCUGCAAAAGCUCCUACAGCAGUUCGAAUCUGCUUGGUACCUCCA